Molecule: long non-coding RNA, 789 nt
Organism: Eleginops maclovinus (Patagonian blennie)
Lineage: Eukaryota; Metazoa; Chordata; Actinopteri; Perciformes; Eleginopidae
Exons: 3
Source: RefSeq, a predicted model, not a curated record
AGUGUCAAAGCCAGCUGUUUGGCAGAUGUGUUCUUCAGCAGAGCAGAUGAACAUCAGCUGCUCCUGUGAGGGAGACAAAGUAGAGUUCAUACUGACCUUGAACGGUCUCUUACUGAUGCAGACCAGAGGCCACAGCCAGUCCCCGAGCAAAAGGACAGCCAACAUGGAGUCAGUGGCUGAUAGUGUCGCUGUCCAAAAUGAACCAAGCGUUUCAAAUGUUACAAUCAGCAUACACUGUCAGCAAACAGGAGACUUGAUGUGUCGUGUUUCAAACAACGUUAGCAGAGAGGAAACAGUUAUUCACCUAACAAACUGCAAAGAUUGUGAUCCUUCCUUCCCUGUUGUGGCUGGGGUUGUGACUGCUAUCACUUUUCUUAUUCUUCUUGUGGCUUUGUUUCUUUAUGGGAUGAAAGGUCGUUGCCUUCCAAGACCCGCGACUCUUAAUGAUGACCCGGUUUUAUUCAUUUCUUUAGGUAGUCCUGAAGAAGACAUAGUCUACGCAGAUGUGAGAAUAAUAAAGAAUACAAGACAUUCUCGUCCCAACCACAGUGCAACAUGAAUUUCUCCUAAAACUUUAUUGAAUGUCAGCACCAUUUAAAAUUCAAAAUGAAUCUUGAUCAACCUGGGUGAGGCUGACUAGAAUCACCACCUGCCGGUUUAAGUUUUUUAUUAACUUGUCUAUUGUAUACAGGCUAUUCAUCUAUAUUCCUUACAUUUCUUAGCUACUACAAUACAAUUGUGACAUUUUAAAUGUCAUCAUUUAAUUAACUUCUAAAAUUAACAUGCUCU